GGCCCAUGCACAGGGGGAGGUGGGGGCGGACGACGACGGGAGCAACGAGGCCGAGGCCGCCUCCUGGCUCCUCCCCGAGCCCGACAACAGCCACGAGGACAGCGCCGCCGCCACCGAUGCGUUCUUCGCGGACUCCGACGGGUACCUCGGCGUCGACCUGGACUUCGCCCGGUCCAUGGACGGCAUCAAGGCCAUCGGCGUGCCGGUCGCGCCGCCCGAGCUGGACAUCGCCGCCGGCGGCUUCUUCUACCCCGACCACUCCAUGAACCACAGCGUAAGCCUCGCGGCUGUGCUAUGAUUUCUAGAUCCUCAGCAAACACCGCGAAAUGGUUCAAUUCGAGAUUCGUCCUCCCAAAAAAGUGGCUUCUUUGAGUGGACUUGGGGAUAAUGUGGACGCCUUCAACCGCUUAUUGCAGGUCUCGUCGUCGGAGGUGGCGGUUGUGCCGGACGCGCUGGCGGCGGGCGGGCCGGCGGUGCCGGUGGUGAGCAGGGGGAAGGAGCGGGAGGCGCGUCUGAUGCGGUACCGUGAGAAGCGCAAGAACCGGCGGUUCGACAAGACCAUCCGGUACGCGUCCCGCAAGGCCUACGCCGAGACGCGGCCGCGCAUCAAGGGCCGCUUCGCCAAGCGCUGCUCCGCGGAGGCCGAGGACGAGGCGCUGGAGCACGAGGAGGGGGCGUGCUUCUCCCCCGCGGUGUCGGCGCCCGCGGCGUCCGACGGCGUCGUCCCGUCCUUCUGCUGAGGGAGAGACGGACGGCGACCCGGCGGCGGCCGCCCCGACCCCUCUCUUCCGCUCCCCGGCGACGACCUCGCUAAUUUUGCCGACUCUGAAUGGAUCUGAACGCAUGCGACGCGCGCGCUCC
Molecule: long non-coding RNA, 861 nt
Filed under: Setaria italica (foxtail millet)
Lineage: Eukaryota; Viridiplantae; Streptophyta; Magnoliopsida; Poales; Poaceae
Description: long non-coding RNA (SITA_LNC000549)
Source: RNAcentral